This is a long non-coding RNA of Lycium barbarum (goji berry), 460 nucleotides long. RefSeq lists it as uncharacterized. The record is from RefSeq and is a predicted model, not a curated record. The transcript has 2 exons. Lineage: Eukaryota; Viridiplantae; Streptophyta; Magnoliopsida; Solanales; Solanaceae.
CUGUACAUGUGGGACAUAAGAUUUGUAUGUACCCAACCCCACACACGUGCAUAGUUUGUACUUGUUGUUCAGAUCUGGCAGGAAAUAAAAAUAUCUCUCUCUGGAUACCCUUCCUUCUUCUCCAGCGAUGACCAUGAGCUUCUCCUGGACGGACGGCUAUGAAAGAUUUUUCUUGAUGAUUGUGUGCUAGAGACAUCUUCCAGACCUUAUAUGUAGCUUGGGGCUAUUUCCCGUUCAGAUCAGAGGAUGAACUCUUAAUCUUGCCAUGUCUCCUGAAGAUCUUUCUUAUUUGAUGUAUAUUUUCAUUCCAGACAUUAUUUACAUUUAUAAGCAGUUGUUCAUUCUUUAGACAGUUGUGUUUAGAGUCCUUGUACGAUGACUUCCGGAUUUUGGGGUUGUAAUAGUUAGAUUUCCGCACUUUAAUUUAUUUAUGGCAUGACUAGACGGGUUUAUGAUUUAA